AUGCCAAAACCUGAGGCAGCACCUGAAGCUAUAAAAUCUCCAAAUGAUUCUCCACAACCAAAUAAUUCACUUCUUAUUGAUAAUGCUGUGAGUGCAAAAAAGUGUAUAAGGAACACUAAAAAGGCUAAUAAGAAGGCACAAAUGAAAGCUCAGUUAAAAGCUUUAUCUAGCAGUCAAGAUCAUCCACCUUUUGUGCCAUAA
RNAcentral lists this long non-coding RNA (201 nucleotides) under Vicia faba (fava bean). The record is from RNAcentral. Lineage: Eukaryota; Viridiplantae; Streptophyta; Magnoliopsida; Fabales; Fabaceae.